This 492-nucleotide ribosomal RNA is filed under the name uncultured bacterium. RNAcentral describes it as "partial 16S ribosomal RNA". It matches the Rfam family "Bacterial small subunit ribosomal RNA", at positions 29 to 507 of the family's 1533-position model. The record is from RNAcentral.
AGUGAACGCUGGCGGUAGGCCUAACACAUGCAAGUCGAACGGCAGCACAGUAAGAGCUUGCUCUUACGGGUGGCGGGUGGCGGACGGGUGAGGAAUACAUCGGAAUCUACUUUUUCGUGGGGGAUAACGUAGGGAAACUUACGCUAAUACCGCAUACGACCUACGGGUGAAAGCAGGGGAUCUUCGGACCUUGCGCGAUUGAAUGAGCCGAUGUCGGAUUAGCUAGUUGGCGGGGUAAAGGCCCACCAAGGCGACGAUCCGUAGCUGGUCUGAGAGGAUGAUCAGCCACACUGGAACUGAGACACGGUCCAGACUCCUACGGGAGGCAGCAGUGGGGAAUAUUGGACAAUGGGCGCAAGCCUGAUCCAGCCAUACCGCGUGGGUGAAGAAGGCCUUCGGGUUGUAAAGCCCUUUUGUUGGGAAAGAAAGGCAGCAGGUUAAUACCCCGCUGUUCCGACGGUACCCAAAGAAUAAGCACCGGCUAACUUCGUG